GAUGAACGCUAGCGGGAGGCCUAACACAUGCAAGCCGAGCGGUAGAGAUUCUUCGGAAUCUUGAGAGCGGCGUACGGUGCGGAACACGUGUGCAACCUACCUUUAUCUGGAGGAUAGCCUUUCGAAAGGAAGAUUAAUACUCCAUAAUAUAUUGAUUGGCAUCAAUUGAUAUUGAAAGCUCCGGCGGAUAGAGAUGGGCACGCGCAAGAUUGGUUAGUUGGUGAGGUAACGGCUCACCAAGACGAUGAUCUUUAGGGGCCUGAGAGGUGAUCCCCACACUGGUACUGAGACACGGACCAGACUCCUACGGGAGGCAGCAGUGAGGAAUAUUGGUCAAUGGGUGCAAGCCUGAACCAGCCAUCCCGCGUGAAGGACGACUGCCCUAUGGGUUGUAAACUUCUUUUGUAUAGGGAUAAACCUACCCUCGUGAGGGUAGCUGAAGGUACUAUACGAAUAAGCACCGGCUAACUCCGUGCCAGCAGCCGCGGUAAU
This 492-nucleotide ribosomal RNA is filed under the name uncultured bacterium. RNAcentral's name for it is "bacterial SSU rRNA". It matches the Rfam family "Bacterial small subunit ribosomal RNA", at positions 28 to 524 of the family's 1533-position model. The record is from RNAcentral.